GGAGAGAUGGCCGAGCGGUUUAAGGCAGCAGUCUUGAAAACUGCCGUGGGUUUACGCCCACCGUGGGUUCGAAUCCCACUCUCUCCGCCA
This 90-nucleotide transfer RNA is filed under the name Luteimonas cucumeris. RNAcentral describes it as "tRNA-Ser". It matches the Rfam family "tRNA". Rfam says of the family: Transfer RNA (tRNA) molecules are approximately 80 nucleotides in length. Their secondary structure includes four short double-helical elements and three loops (D, anti-codon, and T loops). The record is from RNAcentral. Lineage: Bacteria; Pseudomonadati; Pseudomonadota; Gammaproteobacteria; Lysobacterales; Lysobacteraceae. RNAcentral also lists the same sequence under 5 other names.